RNAcentral lists this ribosomal RNA (489 nucleotides) under Triticum aestivum (bread wheat). RNAcentral's name for it is "partial small subunit ribosomal RNA". The record is from RNAcentral. Lineage: Eukaryota; Viridiplantae; Streptophyta; Magnoliopsida; Poales; Poaceae.
AUGUCAAAGACCUCUCGCCUUACCAUGGUGAUGAAGCUUUCGAUCCGAGGUCGGAUCUUUGCCAAGGGGGGAGAUGAUGCGGAGCAACCCAUGAUUAUCCCCAUGGACAUAUCUACAUCUCCCACGACACCACUUGGACCAAUGACAAGAGCUCGAGCAAAGGCUAUCGAAGAUAAGGUGAACUCGCUCCUCUCGGAACUCCCACUUUCUACACAUCGGACAUGGCUACUACCUCAAGCGGAAACACCAUGUGUGAUCGGGUACUUGGAGGAAGGACCUGGAGCCGCUACAUCCAAUGGACAAGACGGCGAGGACACCGAGUAUGAAGGACAAGAAGAAGAGCUAUCGAAGAAGCUACAACAAGCGGUUGUCCGCCCAGGACCAGACAUCCGGUGCCUGAAGGACCAGCCGACCCGGGUUCCAGCCUAUGAAAGGUACAGCGAGCGGAAGCCCGCCCAGGACCGGAUGUCCGGCGACACUUCCCCGUGA